CUUAGCUUUGCUCUUGGGAGAGACACAGAUGGAUCACAAUGAUGGGAGAGAAAAUAGGAGAAAUUAUAUGAUAAAAUUGUGAUUCUAUAUGGAACUACUUUAUACUAUAUAAAUAUGUAAUGUAUUAUGACUAGCCCCCUAAAGAAAAUUUCUUGGCUCUGCUUCUAGGAGAGACAUAGAUGGAUCACGAUGAUGAGAGGGAAAAUAG
Molecule: unclassified non-coding RNA, 208 nt
Filed under: Hevea brasiliensis (rubber tree)
Lineage: Eukaryota; Viridiplantae; Streptophyta; Magnoliopsida; Malpighiales; Euphorbiaceae
Source: RNAcentral